RNAcentral lists this ribosomal RNA (253 nucleotides) under uncultured bacterium. RNAcentral describes it as "partial 16S ribosomal RNA". It matches the Rfam family "Bacterial small subunit ribosomal RNA", at positions 524 to 776 of the family's 1533-position model. The record is from RNAcentral.
UACGUAGGGAGCAAGCGUUGUCCGGAAUCAUUGGGCGUAAAGGGCGCGUAGGUGGCUUCUUAAGCGUGCGGUGAAAGCCUGGGGCUCAACCCCGGGCCUGCAGUGGAUACGGGCUGGCUAGAGGCAGGCAGGGGAGAACGGAAUUCCUGGUGUAGCGGUGAAAUGCGCAGAUAUCAGGAGGAACACCGGUGGCGAAGGCGGUUCUCUGGGCCUGUACUGACGCUGAGGAGCGAAAGCGUGGGGAGCGAACAGG